GAUGAACGCUGGCGGCGUGCCUAAUACAUGCAAGUCGAGCGAACGGACGAGAAGCUUGCUUUUUUGAUGUUAGCGGCGGACGGGUGAGUAACACGUGGAUAACCUACCUAUAAGACUGGGAUAACUUCGGGAAACCGGAGCUAAUACCGGAUAAUAUUUUGAACCGCAUGGUUCAAAAGUGAAAGAUGGUCUUGCUGUCACUUAUAGAUGGAUCCGCGCUGCAUUAGCUAGUUGGUAAGGUAACGGCUUACCAAGGCAACGAUGCAUAGCCGACCUGAGAGGGUGAUCGGCCACACUGGAACUGAGACACGGUCCAGACUCCUACGGGAGGCAGCAGUAGGGAAUCUUCCGCAAUGGGCGAAAGCCUGACGGAGCAACGCCGCGUGAGUGAUGAAGGUCUUCGGAUCGUAAAACUCUGUUAUUAGGGAAGAACAUAUGUGUAAGUAACUGUGCACGUCUUGACGGUACCUAAUCAGAAAGCCACGGCUAACUACGUG
This 497-nucleotide ribosomal RNA is filed under the name uncultured bacterium. RNAcentral's name for it is "partial 16S ribosomal RNA". It matches the Rfam family "Bacterial small subunit ribosomal RNA", at positions 28 to 507 of the family's 1533-position model. The record is from RNAcentral.